Molecule: ribosomal RNA, 301 nt
Filed under: uncultured bacterium
Lineage: Bacteria
Description: partial 16S ribosomal RNA
Rfam family: Bacterial small subunit ribosomal RNA
Source: RNAcentral
CAGCAGCCGCGGGAAUACGUAGGGUGCAAGCGUUAAUCGGAAUUACUGGGCGUAAAGCGUGCGCAGGCGGUUAUAUAAGACAGAUGUGAAAUCCCCGGGCUCAACCUGGGAACUGCAUUUGUGACUGUAUAGCUAGAGUACGGCAGAGGGGGAUGGAAUUCCGCGUGUAGCAGUGAAAUGCGUAGAUAUGCGGAGGAACACCGAUGGCGAAGGCAAUCCCCUGGGCCUGUACUGACGCUCAUGCACGAAAGCGUGGGGAGCAAACAGGAUUAGAUACCCCGGUAGUCCCUGUCUCUUAUCC